RNAcentral lists this ribosomal RNA (406 nucleotides) under uncultured bacterium. RNAcentral's name for it is "bacterial SSU rRNA". It matches the Rfam family "Bacterial small subunit ribosomal RNA", at positions 354 to 777 of the family's 1533-position model. The record is from RNAcentral.
GUGGGGAAUAUUGGACAAUGGGCGAAAGCCUGAUCCAGCAAUGCCGCGUGAGUGAUGAAGGCCUUAGGGUCGUAAAGCUCUUUUACCCGGGAUGAUAAUGACAGUACCGGGAGAAUAAGCCCCGGCUAACUCCGUGCCAGCAGCCGCGGUAAUACGGAGGGGGCUAGCGUUGUUCGGAAUUACUGGGCGUAAAGCGCACGUAGGCGGUUACUCAAGUCAGAGGUGAAAGCCCGGGGCUCAACCCCGGAACUGCCUUUGAAACUAGGUGACUGGAAUCUUGGAGAGGCGAGUGGAAUUCCGAGUGUAGAGGUGAAAUUCGUAGAUAUUCGGAAGAACACCAGUGGCGAAGGCGACUCGCUGGACAAGUAUUGACGCUGAGGUGCGAAAGCGUGGGGAGCAAACAGGA